This 253-nucleotide ribosomal RNA is filed under the name uncultured bacterium. RNAcentral describes it as "partial 16S ribosomal RNA". It matches the Rfam family "Bacterial small subunit ribosomal RNA", at positions 524 to 776 of the family's 1533-position model. The record is from RNAcentral.
GACGAACCGUGCGAACGUUGUUCGGAAUCACUGGGCUUAAAGGGCGCGUAGGCGGCCCGCAAAGUCUCGGGUGAAAGCCCCCGGCUCAACCGGGGAAGUGCCUGGGAUACUGGCGGGCUCGAGGGGGAUAGGGGCGGACGGAACUUCCGGUGGAGCGGUGAAAUGCGUUGAUAUCGGAAGGAACGCCGGUGGCGAAAGCGGUCCGCUGGGUCCCCUCUGACGCUGAGACACGAAAGCCAGGGGAGCAAACGGG